UAUUCUUCCUAUGCGGGAAGGAUGAGAAGCUUCGACUAAGGUUCGAUUCGAGCGUUAGCGAGAAAGCGUUGCCGCAGGCAACGACCCGAAGGGCGAAGCGCGCAGCGCUGAGUAAUCAUUCCCCCACCACCA
This 132-nucleotide small RNA is filed under the name Citrobacter sp. MH181794. RNAcentral describes it as "RtT sRNA". It matches the Rfam family "RtT RNA". From Rfam's summary of the family: This family represents a bacterial cis-regulatory element known as RtT RNA. The record is from RNAcentral. Lineage: Bacteria; Pseudomonadati; Pseudomonadota; Gammaproteobacteria; Enterobacterales; Enterobacteriaceae.